Molecule: ribosomal RNA, 253 nt
Filed under: uncultured bacterium
Lineage: Bacteria
Description: partial 16S ribosomal RNA
Rfam family: Bacterial small subunit ribosomal RNA
Source: RNAcentral
UACGGAGGGGGCUAGCGUUGUUCGGAAUUACUGGGCGUAAAGCGCACGUAGGCGGCUUUGCAAGUUAGAGGUGAAAGCCCGGGGCUCAACCCCGGAAUUGCCUUUAAAACUGCAUCGCUUGAAUCCAGGAGAGGUGAGUGGAAUUCCGAGUGUAGAGGUGAAAUUCGUAGAUAUUCGGAAGAACACCAGUGGCGAAGGCGGCUCACUGGACUGGUAUUGACGCUGAUGUGCGAAAGCGUGGGGAGCAAACAGG